UGGGGAAUCUUGCACAAUGCGCGAAAGCGUGAUGCAGCAACGCCGCGUGGGGGAAGAAGGCCUUCGGGUUGUAAACCCCUUUCAGUUGGGACGAAGCUUCGCCGGUGAAUAGCCGGCCGGAGUGACGGUACCUUCAGAAGAAGCCCCGGCUAACUACGUGCCAGCAGCCGCGGUAAUACGUAGGGGGCAAGCGUUGUCCGGAAUCAUUGGGCGUAAAGCGCGUGUAGGCGGUUCAGUAAGUCUGCUGUGAAAGUCCAGGGCUCAACCCUGGGAUGCCGGUGGAUACUGCUGGACUAGAGUGCGGAAGAGGCGAGUGGAAUUCCCGGUGUAGCGGUGAAAUGCGCAGAUAUCGGGAGGAACACCAAUUGCGAAGGCAGCUCGCUGGGACGUUACUGACGCUGAGACGCGAAAGCGUGGGGAGCAAACAGG
This 429-nucleotide ribosomal RNA is filed under the name Bacillota bacterium. RNAcentral's name for it is "Firmicutes bacterium partial 16S ribosomal RNA". It matches the Rfam family "Bacterial small subunit ribosomal RNA", at positions 355 to 776 of the family's 1533-position model. The record is from RNAcentral. Lineage: Bacteria; Bacillati; Bacillota.